Molecule: ribosomal RNA, 465 nt
Filed under: uncultured bacterium
Lineage: Bacteria
Description: partial 16S ribosomal RNA
Rfam family: Bacterial small subunit ribosomal RNA
Source: RNAcentral
CCUACGGGCGGCAGCAGUAGGGAAUCUUCCACAAUGGGCGAAAGCCUGAUGGAGCAACGCCGCGUGGGUGAAGAAGGUCUUCGGAUCGUAAAACCCUGUUGUUAGAGAAGAAAGUGCGUGAGAGUAACUGUUCACGUUUCGACGGUAUCUAACCAGAAAGCCACGGCUAACUACGUGACAGCAGCCGCGGUAAUACGUAGGUGGCAAGCGUUAUCCGGAUUGAUUGGGCGUAAGGGGAACGCAGGCGGGCUUUUAAGUCUGAUGGGAAAGCCUUCGGCUUAACCGGGGUAGUGCAUUGGAGACUGGGAGACUUGAGUGCAGAAGAGGAGAGGGGAACUCCAUGUGUAGCGGUGAAAUGCGUAGAUAUAUGGAAGAACACCAGUGGCGAAGGCGGCUCUCUGGUCUGUAACUGACGCUGAGGUUCGAAAGCGUGGGUAGCAAACAGGAUUAGAGACCCUAGUAGUC